RNAcentral lists this transfer RNA (92 nucleotides) under Caudoviricetes sp. RNAcentral describes it as "tRNA-OTHER". It matches the Rfam family "tRNA". Rfam says of the family: Transfer RNA (tRNA) molecules are approximately 80 nucleotides in length. Their secondary structure includes four short double-helical elements and three loops (D, anti-codon, and T loops). Further hydrogen bonds mediate the characteristic L-shaped molecular structure. tRNAs have two regions of fundamental functional importance: the anti-codon, which is responsible for specific mRNA codon recognition, and the 3' end, to which the tRNAs corresponding amino acid is attached (by aminoacyl-tRNA synthetases). tRNAs cope with the degeneracy of the genetic code in two manners: having more than one tRNA (with a specific anti-codon) for a particular amino acid; and 'wobble' base-pairing, i.e. permitting non-standard base-pairing at the 3rd anti-codon position. Lineage: Duplodnaviria; Heunggongvirae; Uroviricota; Caudoviricetes. The record is from RNAcentral.
AGGAGAUUGGUGUAAAUGGAAGCACAGCGGCAACUAGAUGAUACCGUUUCUUAUCGCCGUGAGAUGGAGGUUCGAGUCCUCUAUCUCCUCCA